UGAAGACACAUAGCCACAGAGGGAAGACGGCCAUGUGAAACUGGAGGCAGAGAUUGGAGUUACAAAACCACAAGCCCAGGGAUGCCUGGGGCCACCAGAAACUGAAAAAGAUCAACUCAGUCUCAGAGAGUUGGAAAGAGUGAGAAGCUGAGCGAAGGUGGCACUCUCUUACUCAGUUCACUGCAGUUGUGUGAUGAGUUCAGGCCAAUGAAGUGUGGGCAGGAGUGAUGCGCACCACUUUCACGCCCGGCCCAUCCAAACCUCCCACGUGUGACCUUCCACCUCUUUCCAUCUGUGGGGACCUUGCUGGAGAUGGCAGUGCUUGCUGAAGAGGCUAAGAGCCUGGGUCCCUGCAUGGCUGUGUGGAGCAGAGCCCUCCCACCCACCGUCACCCACUCCCUUCGGAUUGCUC
RNAcentral lists this long non-coding RNA (412 nucleotides) under Equus caballus (horse). RNAcentral describes it as "lncRNA (ENSECAG00000044716.1)". Lineage: Eukaryota; Metazoa; Chordata; Mammalia; Perissodactyla; Equidae. The record is from RNAcentral.